GAGAGUUUGAUCCUGGCUCAGGAUGAACGCUGGCGGCGUGCUUAACACAUGCAAGUCGAACGAAGCAUAUGUCAUCAAAGCCUUCGGGCAGAGAAGAUAUAUGACUUAGUGGCGGACGGGUGAGUAACGCGUGAGUAACCUGCCGUAUACCGGGGGAUAACAGUUAGAAAUGACUGCUAAUACCGCAUAAGCGCACAGUGCUGCAUGGCACAGUGUGAAAAACUCCGGUGGUAUAUGAUGGACUCGCGUCUGAUUAGUUAGUUGGUGAGGUAACGGCUCACCAAGACAGCGAUCAGUAGCCGACUUGAGAGAGUGAUUCGGCCACAUUGGGACUGAGACACGGCCCAAACUCCUACGGGAGGCAGCAGUGGGGAAUAUUGCACAAUGGGGGAAACCCUGAUGCAGCGACGCCGCGUGAGUGAAGAAGUAUUUCGGUAUGUAAAGCUCUAUCAGCAAGGAAGAUAAUGACGUACUUGACUAAGAAGCCCGGCUAAUA
RNAcentral lists this ribosomal RNA (496 nucleotides) under uncultured manure pit bacterium P3OTU1. Its description in RNAcentral is "bacterial SSU rRNA". It matches the Rfam family "Bacterial small subunit ribosomal RNA", at positions 7 to 502 of the family's 1533-position model. The record is from RNAcentral.